RNAcentral lists this ribosomal RNA (302 nucleotides) under uncultured Arcobacter sp. Its description in RNAcentral is "bacterial SSU rRNA". It matches the Rfam family "Bacterial small subunit ribosomal RNA", at positions 504 to 805 of the family's 1533-position model. Lineage: Bacteria; Pseudomonadati; Campylobacterota; Epsilonproteobacteria; Campylobacterales; Arcobacteraceae. The record is from RNAcentral.
CGUGCCAGCAGCCGCGGUAAUACGGAGGGCGCAAGCGUUACUCGGAAUCACUGGGCGUAAAGAGCGUGUAGGCGGAUAGAUAAGUCAGAAGUGAAAUCCUAUGGCUCAACCAUAGAACUGCUUUUGAAACUGUUUAUCUAGAGUGUGGGAGAGGUAGAUGGAAUUUCUGGUGUAGGGGUAAAAUCCGUAGAGAUCAGAAGGAAUACCGAUUGCGAAGGCGAUCUACUGGAACAUAACUGACGCUGAGACGCGAAAGCGUGGGGAGCAAACAGGAUUAGAUACCCUGGUAGUCCACGCCCUAA